UUCUAAAAUUCUACACCCUGAACACGCCUGAUUCCGUCUGAUCUCGGAAGCUAAGCAGGGUUGAGCCUGGUUAGUACUUGGAUGGGAGACCACCUAGGAAGGCUAGGUGCUGUAGGCU
RNAcentral lists this ribosomal RNA (118 nucleotides) under Pteropus alecto (black flying fox). The record is from RNAcentral. Lineage: Eukaryota; Metazoa; Chordata; Mammalia; Chiroptera; Pteropodidae.